Molecule: transfer RNA, 71 nt
Filed under: Oryctes borbonicus
Lineage: Eukaryota; Metazoa; Arthropoda; Insecta; Coleoptera; Scarabaeidae
Rfam family: tRNA
About the family: Transfer RNA (tRNA) molecules are approximately 80 nucleotides in length. Their secondary structure includes four short double-helical elements and three loops (D, anti-codon, and T loops).
Source: Rfam by way of RNAcentral
GACAUUGUAGUGUAGAGGUAAUGUCCUCGUCCGAUAAACGGAAGUCGUAGGAUCGAGUCCUACCGGUGCUU